This 278-nucleotide ribosomal RNA is filed under the name uncultured bacterium. Its description in RNAcentral is "partial 16S ribosomal RNA". It matches the Rfam family "Bacterial small subunit ribosomal RNA", at positions 399 to 691 of the family's 1533-position model. The record is from RNAcentral.
GCGUGGAGGAUGAAGGUUUUCGGAUCGUAAACUCCUGUCUAGAGGGAAGAAGCAAGUGACGGUACCUCUGGAGGAAGCCCCGGCUAACUCCGUGCCAGCAGCCGCGGUAAUACGGGGGGGGCGAGCGUUGUUCGGAAUUACUGGGCGUAAAGGGCGCGUAGGCGGUUUCGGAAGUCAUGGGUGAAAGUCCUCGGCUCAACCGAGGGAUUGCCUGUGAAACCACGGGACUGGAGUGCUGGAGAGGGAAGCGGAAUUCCCAGUGUAGCGGUGAAAUGCGU